This 559-nucleotide ribosomal RNA is filed under the name uncultured bacterium. RNAcentral's name for it is "bacterial SSU rRNA". It matches the Rfam family "Bacterial small subunit ribosomal RNA", at positions 120 to 674 of the family's 1533-position model. The record is from RNAcentral.
GGGAAACUGCCCGAUGGAGGGGGAUAACUACUGGAAACGGUAGCUAAUACCGCAUAACGUCGUAAGACCAAAGUGGGGGACCUUCAGGCCUCACACCAUCGGAUGUGCCCAGAUGGGAUUAGCUAGUAGGUGGGGUAAUGGCUCACCUAGGCGACGAUCCCUAGCUGGUCUGAGAGGAUGACCAGCCACACUGGAACUGAGACACGGUCCAGACUCCUACGGGAGGCAGCAGUGGGGAAUAUUGCACAAUGGGCGCAAGCCUGAUGCAGCCAUGCCGCGUGUAUGAAGAAGGCCUUCGGGUUGUAAAGUACUUUCAGCGGGGAGGAAGGCGGUGGAGUUAAUAGCUUCACCGAUUGACGUUACCCGCAGAAGAAGCACCGGCUAACUCCGUGCCAGCAGCCGCGGUAAUACGGAGGGUGCAAGCGUUAAUCGGAAUUACUGGGCGUAAAGCGCACGCAGGCGGUCUGUCAAGUCAGAUGUGAAAUCCCCGGGCUUAACCUGGGAACUGCAUUCGAAACUGGCAGGCUAGAGUCUUGUAGAGGGGGGUAGAAUUCCAGGU